Molecule: ribosomal RNA, 474 nt
Filed under: uncultured bacterium
Lineage: Bacteria
Description: bacterial SSU rRNA
Rfam family: Bacterial small subunit ribosomal RNA
Source: RNAcentral
CGCUAUCACUCCUACGGGAGGCAGCAGUAGGGAAUCUUCCACAAUGGGCGCAAGCCUGAUGGAGCAACACCGCGUGAGUGAAGAAGGGUUUCGGCUCGUAAAGCUCUGUUGUUAAAGAAGAACACGUAUGAGAGUAACUGUUCAUACGUUGACGGUAUUUAACCAGAAAGUCACGGCUAACUACGUGCCAGCAGCCGCGGUAAUACGUAGGUGGCAAGCGUUAUCCGGAUUUAUUGGGCGUAAAGAGAGUGCAGGCGGUUUUCUAAGUCUGAUGUGAAAGCCUUCGGCUUAACCCGGAGAAGUGCAUCGGAAACUGGAUAACUUGAGUGCAGAAGAGGGUAGUGGAACUCUAUGUGUAGCGGUGGAAUGCGUAGAUGUAUGGAAGAACACCAGUGGCGAAGGCGGCUACCUGGUCUGCAACUGACGCUGAGACUCGAAAGCAUGGGUAGCGAACAGGAUUAGAUACCCUGGUAG